GGUCAAGCUACUAAGGGCCCACGGGGGAUGCCUUGGCGUCAAGGGCCGAUGAAGGGCGUAGCACGACUGCGAUAAGCUUCGGUCAGCCGUCUAGCAGGCUUAACCGGAGAUACCCGAAUCGGGGAACCGGCGGCGGAGAAACCGUCGCGCCCCACGCUGAACACAUUAGGCAUGGGGAGGUAAGCGGGGGAACUGAAACAUCUCACUACCCCGAGGAAAAGAAAGCAACCGCGAUUCCCCUAGUAGCGGUGAGCGAACGGGGAACAGCCCAAACCUGUGGGGCUUAACGGACUGGGGUCCUAUGCCUCGCGGGGGUUGUACGGCGCACCGGCGGAAGCCCCAGCAACUGCACGGAGUGAGCAAUCCUGGCUUUAGCCGAAGGCUCCUGGAAGGGACCGCCAUAGGGGGUGAUAGCCCCGUAGGCGAAAGGGCCGGGACUUCGGGUGCGUUCGUGAGUACCGCGGGACACGUGGAAUCCUGUGGGAACCAGGGGGGACCACCCUCCAAGGCUAAAUACCCUUGACGACCGAUAGUGCACAAGUACCGUGAGGGAAAGGUGAAAAGAACCCCUGUAGGGGAGUGAAAUAGACCUGAAACCGUGGGCCUACAAGCGAUCGGAGCCCUGGGCGACCGGGGUGACGGUGUGCCUAUUGAAGAAUGAGCCGGCGAGUUGCGUCUGUGCGGCAAGGUUAAGGGAUAGAGACGUCCUGGAGCCGAAGCGAAAGCGAGUCUGAAUAGGGCGUAGAGUCGCAUGGAGCAGACCCGAAACCGGGUGAGCUACCCAUGGCCAGGGUGAAGCCUGGAUAAUCUCCAGGUGGAGGCCCGAACCGGUGAAUGUUGCAAAAUUCUCGGAUGAGCUGUGGGUAGAGGAGAAAUGCCAAUCGAACCCGGAGAUAGC
Molecule: ribosomal RNA, 898 nt
Filed under: Dehalococcoidia bacterium
Lineage: Bacteria; Bacillati; Chloroflexota; Dehalococcoidia
Description: partial 23S ribosomal RNA
Rfam family: Bacterial large subunit ribosomal RNA
Source: RNAcentral